Molecule: long non-coding RNA, 606 nt
Filed under: Homo sapiens (human)
Lineage: Eukaryota; Metazoa; Chordata; Mammalia; Primates; Hominidae
Description: non-protein coding lnc-PUS10-4:6
Source: RNAcentral
UAUGGAAAACUGGGUCGAGCGGUUUCUUUUGGCUCACAAUUAUCCUAGAGUGAGGACUUGCAGUAGAAGAACUGUUUAACCUGAUGCAGCUGUUUAUAGCUCAGAGGCCAGAUAUGAGAGAAGAAGAAUUAGAAGAUAUUAAACAGUUCAAGAAAACAACCAUAAGUUGUUACUUACGUUGCUUAGAUGGCCGCUCCUGCUGGACUACUUUAAUAAGUGCCUUCAGAAUACUAUUAGAAUCUGAUGAAGACAGACUUCUUGUUGUAUUUAAUCGAGGAUUGAUUCUAAUGACAGAGUCUUUCAACACUUUGCACAUGAUGUAUCACGAAGCUACAGCUUGCCAUGUGACUGGAGAUUUAGUAGAACUUCUGUCAAUAUUUCUUUCGGUUUUGAAGUCUACACGCCCUUAUCUUCAGAGAAAAGAUGUGAAACAAGCAUUAAUCCAGUGGCAGGAGCGAAUUGAAUUUGCCCAUAAACUGUUAACUCUUCUUAAUUCCUAUAGUCCUCCAGAACUUAGAAAUGCCUGUAUAGAUGUCCUCAAGGAACUUGUACUUUUGAGUCCCCAUGAUUUUCUUCAUACUCUGGUUCCCUUUCUACAACACAACC